CUCACAUGAAUUGACGGGGGCCCGCACAAGCGGUGGAGCAUGUGGUUUAAUUCGAUGCAACGCGAAGAACCUUACCUGGCCUUGACAUCCACGGAAUUCGGCAGAGAUGCCUUAGUGCCUCCGGGAACCGUGAGACAGGUGCUGCAUGGCUGUCGUCAGCUCGUGUUGUGAAAUGUUGGGUUAAGUCCCGCAACGAGCGCAACCCUUAUCCUUUGUUGCCAGCGCGUGAUGGCGGGAACUCAAAGGAGACUGCCGGUGACAAACCGGAGGAAGGUGGGGAUGACGUCAAGUCAUCAUGGCCCUUACGACCAGGGCUACACACGUGCUACAAUGGCGCAUACAAAGAGAAGCGACCUCGCGAGAGCAAGCGGACCUCAUAAAGUGCGUCGUAGUCCGGAUCGGAGUCUGCAACUCGACUCCGUGAAGUCGGAAUCGCUAGUAAUCGUAGAUCAGAACGCUACGGUGAAUACGUUCCCGGGCCUUGUACACACCGCCCGUCACACCAUGGGAGUGGGUUGCAAAAGAAGUAGGUAGCUUAACCCUCUGAGGGCGCUUACCACUUUGUGAUUCAUGACUGGGGGAGAGCUAACAAGGUAACC
RNAcentral lists this ribosomal RNA (599 nucleotides) under uncultured Erwinia sp. Its description in RNAcentral is "bacterial SSU rRNA". It matches the Rfam family "Bacterial small subunit ribosomal RNA", at positions 900 to 1501 of the family's 1533-position model. The record is from RNAcentral. Lineage: Bacteria; Pseudomonadati; Pseudomonadota; Gammaproteobacteria; Enterobacterales; Erwiniaceae.